UACGUAGGGUGCAAGCGUUAAUCGGAAUUACUGGGCGUAAAGCGUGCGCAGGCGGUUGUGCAAGACAGAUGUGAAAUCCCCGGGCUCAACCUGGGAAUUGCAUUUGUGACUGCACGGCUAGAGUGUGUCAGAGGGGGGUAGAAUUCCACGUGUAGCAGUGAAAUGCGUAGAGAUGUGGAGGAAUACCGAUGGCGAAGGCAGCCUCCUGGGCCAACACUGACGCUCAUGCACGAAAGCGUGGGGAGCAAACAGG
Molecule: ribosomal RNA, 253 nt
Filed under: uncultured bacterium
Lineage: Bacteria
Description: partial 16S ribosomal RNA
Rfam family: Bacterial small subunit ribosomal RNA
Source: RNAcentral